GAUGAACGCUGGCGGCGUGCCUAAUACAUGCCAGUCGAGCGAACAGAUGAGGAGCUUGCUCCUUUGACGUUAGCGGCGGACGGGUGAGUAACACGUGGGUAACCUACCUAUAAGACUGGGAUAACUUCGGGAAACCGGGGCUAAUACCGGAUAAUAUCUUGCAUCGCAUGGUGCAAGGGUGAAAGACGGUGUUGCUGUCACUUGUCGAUGGGUCCGGGGCGCAUUUGCUAGUUGGGAAGGUAACGGCCUACCAAGGGAAAGAUGAGUAGCCGACCUGGGAGGGUGAUCGGCCAACCUGGACCUGAGACACGGUCCAGACUCCUCCGGGAGGCAGCAGUGGGGAAUCUCCGGCAUUGGGCGAAAUCCUGACGGAGCAACGCCGCGUGGGUGAUGAAGGUCUUCGGAUCUUAAAACCCUUUUAUUAGGGAAGAAAAGAUGUGUAAGAACAUAGCGACGUCUUGACGGUACCUAAUCAGAAAGCCACGGCUAACUACGUG
RNAcentral lists this ribosomal RNA (497 nucleotides) under uncultured bacterium. RNAcentral describes it as "partial 16S ribosomal RNA". It matches the Rfam family "Bacterial small subunit ribosomal RNA", at positions 28 to 507 of the family's 1533-position model. The record is from RNAcentral.